RNAcentral lists this ribosomal RNA (562 nucleotides) under Fusarium oxysporum f. sp. cepae. Its description in RNAcentral is "SSU rRNA". It matches the Rfam family "Bacterial small subunit ribosomal RNA", at positions 365 to 894 of the family's 1533-position model. Lineage: Eukaryota; Fungi; Ascomycota; Sordariomycetes; Hypocreales; Nectriaceae. The record is from RNAcentral.
UUUAGGAGGGGCGAAGCUCCUCUUAUUGUGAGGGCGAGUUAUAUAACACCAUAGGACUGGCCGUCCCAUAUGAAAAGAUUAUAUUAGAAUUGAAUGAAGCUUUGUUUAUAUAUUGAUAAUGACAGUAUAUAUAUCGUGUCUUGACUAAUUGCGUGCCAGCAGUCGCGGUAAUACGUAAGAGACUAGUGUUAUUCAUCUUAAUUAGGUUUAAAGGGUACCCAGACGGUCAAUAUAGCUUAUAAAAUGUUAGUACUUGACUAGAGUUUUAUGUAAGAGGGCAGUACUUGAGGAGGAGAGAUGAAAUUUCGUGAUACCAAAGGGACUCUGUAAAGGCGAAGGCAGCCCUCUAUGUAAAAACUGACGUUGAAGGACGAAGGCACAGAGAACAAACAGGAUUAGAUACCCAAGUAGUCUUUGCAGUAAAUGAUGAAUGCCAUAGUUAGAUGGGUGGGCUCGUCUAGUUGAGUUAGUUUAGCAAACUAAUGAUCUAGACGAGCCCACCGUAUAUUUGGUCUAUAAAUGAAAGUGUAAGCAUUUCACCUCAAGAGUAAUGUGGCAAUUU